GAGACAAAUGCAGGAGACAAGCAGAAUUAUGCCUUUAAAGUUGUUGGUAUCGCUUUGGCUUUUCAGAUCUUGGGACAAAUCCUUCAGGCAAUCCCAGGCUCCGAGCAAUCAGCAGACCUCUUCAUGUGGUUUGGCAAACUCACCUAAGGCAACACUGCCAAAGCCAUGGAGAAGACUCCUCAGCAACAUCAAGUAACUACAGCAGUAGUCGUGCCCAGGGCUAACCUCAAACACUUGGUUUCCACUUGAUUGGAAACAAGUGUGCUGAAAGCUGUCUGCUCUUUCCUCACUACACAAUGUGGACUGCUGCCUGGCUCUGGUCUGGAAACAAUUAUUUCCCUCAUGUACCUACCGGUUCCGAACAGUCAAAGACUUAUCCCUAGACUUUCUUUUCCUCUUUGCACUCUUAUUAGCCCCUUCCUUUAUAAAUAGAACUUGUCAUUGUAUAUAAUGCCCACAGAACAACUCCAGUUCUGUUAUUUGACAAAAUUACUGCCACAUUUUAAAGCCAGGUCUCCCUUGAGGGAGUUUUGUAUCUGUAAAUAUGCCAUAGUGAAUUCACCCCUCUUUUAUCCUGUUCUGAUAGGAUGAAUUUUGAUGGUGUUUGAAUUUGUGGGACUUUAAGAAAGGGUGGGACUUUAAGCACACAUUGUGGUUACAGUAGUGUAAAUAUUCUUCAACAAGCCCAAAGAAUGGUCAAAACAUCCACACACAGAUGUGCAGUAAUGCUUCCAAGUAUUUGCAGAUGCUACCAGCAUAGCAUAGUACAGCUGUUCUAAAAAAGAACAUACCUGUUUAUCUGCCAGUAUUCCUGGAUUUAUUCUUUCUUUCAAAUGUUCCUACUUUUCAACAUGUAUGCAGACAUGAGAGAAUGUGAGAAACAGAAUCUGCAGAUAUUUGCACACAGAGGUAAGCUCAUGCCAUGAAUAGUGCCAUUAUACUAAGCAGGGUCACUUUUCUCAGGGAGAUUGAUCUCAUACUUUAUUUCAUGAAGACUAGUUCCCAACUAAGCACAGACUGUGAGGAAACAAAUUGGAGUGGAAAGAGUCUAUAAAUUUCUUUUCCUGCACUGAAUUCAAAAUAGCGUUUCUCUUACUGGAAAAACAAACAUAAGCUCAGUUUGGGUGCUUUCUGUCUGCCUGCCUGCGGGAUUGGUAGUCCACACCUUCUGCCAGUUCGGAGACCUCUCUGCCC
Molecule: long non-coding RNA, 1194 nt
Filed under: Cyanistes caeruleus (blue tit)
Lineage: Eukaryota; Metazoa; Chordata; Aves; Passeriformes; Paridae
Description: lncRNA (ENSCCEG00000015642.1)
Source: RNAcentral